GCCUGGCCCUAAAUCUUGAUGCUUUAUCCUACUUAAGCAUCCGCCCGAGAACUACGAGCACAAACGCUUAAAACUCUAAGGACUUGGCGGUGCUCCAAACCCACCUAGAGGAGCCUGUUCUAUAAUCGAUGAUCCACGAUAUACCUAACCAUUCCUCGCAAGAUCAGCCUAUAUACCGCCGUCGCCAGCCCACCCCCCCUGAAGGUUCAACAGUGAGCGCAAUAGUCCCUACCACUAGUAAGACAGGUCAAGGUAUAGCCUAUGGAAUGGAAGCAAUGGGCUACAUUUUCUAAAUUAGAACAUUACGGCAAAAGGGUGUGAAAUCGCCCUUAGAAGGCGGAUUUAGCAGUAAAGUGGGAUAAUCAAGCCCUCUUUAAGCCGGCUCUGGAGCACGU
RNAcentral lists this ribosomal RNA (395 nucleotides) under Newtonia brunneicauda. Its description in RNAcentral is "partial 12S ribosomal RNA". It matches the Rfam family "Bacterial small subunit ribosomal RNA", at positions 794 to 1384 of the family's 1533-position model. Lineage: Eukaryota; Metazoa; Chordata; Aves; Passeriformes; Vangidae. The record is from RNAcentral.